AGUCUACAGAGGCCAGAGAAGAACAAAAGGCACAACGCAGACACAGAAAUACGGUGAACAAGAGAAACAUGAACAAAAUGGCGUAUUCUGGCUGACAAGACGUCUAAUAGGGUUCCACCACCUGCACAGAGCAUCAGUUUAUACUUUGAGUUCAGCUUUACUUGUCAUGAGGAGAACUUCCAAAACUUGUAAAACCGUUCCAUAAUGGAUUCUGCUUCUGGAAGAAGCCUUUUUAUUUUUCCUGUUUGUUGCUUUGACGUCUGGUAAGCAGCACAGCAGCUGCUGUACGUGUGUGUGUUUGAUUAUGUGCACAGUGAGUACAGUGAGAAGGGGAAGGCGAGCUAAUCGAGUGACCAAGACUAAGGAACAGCUCUGAACAAAUCAGGCAGAGGCCUGUCCUCACAGGGCCUCGGCAGCUUUGGAGAAACUCUCAAGCUGUCGGCUCCUCUGCAGUCCGGCCUCAGCCCUGAAGUCCUCAUACUCUGGGUCCUCAGUGUCCUGAUAGUGGAGUGCGGCGGAUUCCAGGUGUUUUUGCCACUGAAAAUGAAAUGAACAGAGUGAAGAUGGCCAAUUAGACUUUCUGUGAGGCUAGUUCCCCUACUCUUACACAUGUAUUGUGAUAUAAUACUGUAUAUUACUAGCAUCAGAUAUUUGAUUGCAUGAUGACAUCACUGGGGACAAAUGGCUUACUAUACACAGCAAUGCAUAGUAUUAGUCAAUUAGAUAGAUACUUUAGUUUUGGUAAUGUUUAAAUACCUUUUCCCUUUCCUUGCUGGCUGGUCUGUGUUGGUGGGAUCGAGGAGUUUCUGGGGCAACAACAGUCUUGACUGGUUCCUCAUCCAGCAAAGAGUGAAGAAAGAGCUCUGUCUUGGUUUGUAAGCAGAUGCAUAUUCCAUAAAUGCUACUGCUGGUUUGAAGAACGUCUGACUACCAAAACCAGAAAUCCGUCAAGGCCUAGAGAUACACUUGUGUCUCACUUGUGGUCUCUGAAGAUGUCUUGAAGGAAAUGU
Molecule: long non-coding RNA, 1010 nt
Organism: Betta splendens (Siamese fighting fish)
Lineage: Eukaryota; Metazoa; Chordata; Actinopteri; Anabantiformes; Osphronemidae
Exons: 3
Source: RefSeq, a predicted model, not a curated record